UUAAGUCUUGACGAGUAAGAGGGUCGCGACGGUGAGCGCAGAAGGGUCAGGGCGAGAGCCUGCCUGGAGCCGCCGUUGGUGCAGAUCUUGGUGGUAGUAGCAAAUACUCUAGCGAGGGCCUGGAGGACUGACGUGGAGAAGGGUUUCUUGUGAACAGCCGUUGCACAAGAGUCAGUCGACCCUGAGCCCUAGGAGAAAUCCGAUGACGAUGGGUGGCUUGACAAUAUGCAUGCGUGCACAUAAUUGUCUCGCUUGUAGCUCCUAGUAGCUCGCGACUCUUAUGCUGCUGCAAACAUACAAUCAUAGACCACAGACUGUGCUUGUCGUGUUCUUGCUUGUAGCUCUUGUAGCUCGCAGUAUCGACUGAACAGCUCCUUUUGGGCAAAAGGGAAUCCGGUUCCUAUUCCGGAACCUGGCUGCGUAACCGCAUCUUUGCGGGCACUUGCUUGCGAGCGCUCGUCGGGGUAACCCAAACUGGCCUGGAGACGCCGGCGGGAAGUCUGGAAAGAGUUUUCUUUUCUUUAUAAGCGUUCGAGUACCCUGGAAUCCUAUAGCAGGGAGAUAGGGUUUGGAAUGCGAAGAGCACUGCAGUUGCGGCAGUGUCCGGACUUUCCCCCCGGACCUUGAAAAUCCAGGUGAGGGCCACGCGGAAGUCGCGCCAG
RNAcentral lists this ribosomal RNA (662 nucleotides) under Nilaparvata lugens (brown planthopper). RNAcentral's name for it is "eukaryotic LSU rRNA". It matches the Rfam family "Eukaryotic large subunit ribosomal RNA", at positions 1367 to 1840 of the family's 3401-position model. Lineage: Eukaryota; Metazoa; Arthropoda; Insecta; Hemiptera; Delphacidae. The record is from RNAcentral.